UACAGAGGAGCCAAGCGUUGUCCGGAUUGACUGGGCGUAAAGCGCACGCAGGCGGUCGCGCGCGUGGGGGGUGAAAUCUGGCCGCUUAACGGCCAGGCGCCAUCCCAUACGGCGCGACUGGAGUGAUGCAGAGGUCGGUGGAAUUGCCGGUGUAGCGGUGAAAUGCGCAGAUAUCAGGAGGAACACCGGUGGCGAAGGCGGGUCUCUGGGCCGAUACUGACGCUGAGGAGCGAAAGCGUGGGGAGCGAACAGG
RNAcentral lists this ribosomal RNA (253 nucleotides) under uncultured bacterium. RNAcentral describes it as "partial 16S ribosomal RNA". It matches the Rfam family "Bacterial small subunit ribosomal RNA", at positions 524 to 776 of the family's 1533-position model. The record is from RNAcentral.